GGGGUUUUGGUUCUUUCAUUGGUUUGGUUUAGGAGUAUUAUGAAUCGUGCACACCUCUAUAACAUAUCCUACAUUUUUGAGGGUCAAUAUUGUUGAGCAUUCGUGUACGCUGUGGUUGGUCUUUCUCUCUCUCUCUCUCUCGUACUCGACCUCUCUCUUACCCUGCCUCUCACUCAGGGUGGUUGGGUUUGAUGAAUGGGUAAUCAUAAUUUAAUACCAAUCAUGGUUUGAAUUAUUAUUGUAGUGGU
This 248-nucleotide unclassified non-coding RNA is filed under the name Hevea brasiliensis (rubber tree). The record is from RNAcentral. Lineage: Eukaryota; Viridiplantae; Streptophyta; Magnoliopsida; Malpighiales; Euphorbiaceae.